CCUACGGGGGGCAGCAGUGGGGAAUAUUGCACAAUGGGCGCAAGCCUGAUGCAGCCAUGCCGCGUGUGUGAAGAAGGCCUUCGGGUUGUAAAGCACUUUCGGCGGGGAGGAAGGCGUUAAGGUUAAUAACCUUGGCGAUUGACGUUACCCGCAGAAGAAGCACCGGCUAACUCCGUGCCAGCAGCCGCGGUAAUACGGAGGGUGCAAGCGUUAAUCGGAAUUACUGGGCGUAAAGCGCACGCAGGCGGUCUGUCAAGUCGGAUGUGAAAUCCCCGGGCUCAACCUGGGAACUGCAUUCGAAACUGGCAGGCUAGAGUCUUGUAGAGGGGGGUAGAAUUCCAGGUGUAGCGGUGAAAUGCGUAGAGAUCUGGAGGAAUACCGGUGGCGAAGGCGGCCCCCUGGACAAAGACUGACGCUCAGGUGCGAAAGCGUGGGGAGCAAACAGGAUUAGAUACCCUAGUAGUC
This 465-nucleotide ribosomal RNA is filed under the name uncultured Klebsiella sp. Its description in RNAcentral is "bacterial SSU rRNA". It matches the Rfam family "Bacterial small subunit ribosomal RNA", at positions 338 to 795 of the family's 1533-position model. Lineage: Bacteria; Pseudomonadati; Pseudomonadota; Gammaproteobacteria; Enterobacterales; Enterobacteriaceae. The record is from RNAcentral.